UUUAGAACUCAGAUGUGAAGUCUGGUCUGUAGUCUGUUUCCUUUGCCAUUCAGAAUUCAUGGAGAAACAUGAUUUCAUUGCUGGAUGAGAGCAUCCCAUCUACCUCUAAGGAACUGGGAUGAGGCAGGGGAUACAUACAUUCAGUAUUCUAGGUAUUUAGAAGAAAAGACCUGAAAGAGAAAAAACUAACCCAAAGGAGCUUUCUGAUUGGUGAUGCCAAAGAUUGAUUACAUCUGUGAUUGCAUUCCUGAGAGUUCCAGCUUUUUUGAUAUACUAUAUACAACUCCGGUCCUGUUGUCAUCCUACAAGCCCUUCAUUAAGGAAAUAAAUGCCUGAGUGACAAUGAUAAAAUUCAUGUUUUACAGCCUUAGGACAGAAGAAAGAAAACAAAUUGCAGGAGUGUUCCACAAGAGGGGACUCCCACAGUGUGAGGUCAAGAGGAAUUAAGGAUCCAGGGCAGUACUGAAUUAGGUUGGUAUUAAUUUCACAUUCUGUAUUUUAACAGGUUCCCUC
This 513-nucleotide long non-coding RNA is filed under the name Phascolarctos cinereus (koala). RNAcentral describes it as "lncRNA (ENSPCIG00000014688.2)". The record is from RNAcentral. Lineage: Eukaryota; Metazoa; Chordata; Mammalia; Diprotodontia; Phascolarctidae.